Long non-coding RNA from Arachis duranensis, 307 nucleotides. RefSeq lists it as uncharacterized. The record is from RefSeq and is a predicted model, not a curated record. NCBI's taxonomy places the organism in Eukaryota, Viridiplantae, Streptophyta, Magnoliopsida, Fabales, Fabaceae. The transcript has 3 exons.
UGACGGCGGAGACACAAUUAAAGCCUCUUUAUCAAUAUUUAAUAGACCUGGUCACAAGGUUGGUAAAGCUAAAGAUCAUUGGUUAGAUGAACGAGACAAGGCCGCAGCUCAUUUGCAUAUUCUACUCAAUGAAAGCAAAGUUAGCCUUUUCUAUAUGUUUUGGAAAGAAACUUGUCCUGGAGAAAGCGAUGACCGAUUUCCCCCUUGGUUUGCAUCAUAUGUUCAAAAUCAAUGUAAUGAAAUUGUUGAUCCUGGUUUGCAAUCACUUUCUUGGGGUAAUUCAAACAAAGCAACAAGUUAUCCAAUU